RNAcentral lists this unclassified non-coding RNA (1062 nucleotides) under Hevea brasiliensis (rubber tree). The record is from RNAcentral. Lineage: Eukaryota; Viridiplantae; Streptophyta; Magnoliopsida; Malpighiales; Euphorbiaceae.
GUUUGUUAGUGGAAAGAGGCUAUUUGCAGGUGAUUCAGUUCUAUUUAUCAGAGAUGAAAAGCAGCAACUUCUCUUGGGGAUCAGGCGAGCAAAUAAACAACCUGCUAAUUUAUCAUCAUCAGUGUUGUCAAGUGAUAGCAUGCACAUUGGGAUCCUAGCUGCCGCAGCCCAUGCAGCAGCAAAUAAUAGUCCCUUCACAGUGUUUUAUAAUCCAAGGGCUAGUCCAUCAGAAUUUGUUAUUCCUUUGGCCAAAUAUUACAAGGCAGGGUACAGUAACCAAAUAUCACUUGGCAUGCGCUUUCGGAUGAUGUUUGAAACUGAAGAAUCAGGAACAAGAAGGUAUAUGGGUACAAUUACAGGAAUUAGUGAUAUUGAUCCUGUACGGUGGAAGAAUUCACAAUGGCGUAAUUUACAGGUUGGAUGGGAUGAGUCAACUGCUGGGGAAAGACGCAAUAGAGUCUCAAUCUGGGAGAUUGAACCAGUGACUGCUCCAUUUUUCAUAUGCCCACCACCAUUCUUUAGAUCUAAGCGUCCAAGGCAACCUGGAAUGCCAGAUGAUGAUUCCCCUGAUUUAGAUAACUUAUUUAAGAAGUCAAUGCCUUGGCUUGGCGACGAUUUUUACAUGAAAGAUCCCCAGUCUGUACCUGGCCUGAGCUUACUGCAGUGUAUUAACAUGCAGCAAAACCCUUCCCUUGCUAAUGCAAUGCCGCCCAACUACAUGCAAUCUUUGUCAGGAUCUGUUCUGCAGAACCUUACCGGGCCUGAUCUUUCACAUCAGUUGGGCUUGUCAGCACCACAGUUACCUCAGCCAAACAACUUACAGUUUAAUUCCCAACGGCUGCCCCUGCAAUCACAACAAUUUGACCAGCUUCCAAAGAUGCAAUCUUCACUGAAUUCACUAGGUUCCAUCAUACAGUCGCAGCAACAAUUAGGUGAUAUCACUCAACAAUCAAAGCAAAAUUUGGUAACUCAAACUAUAACAUCAAGUCAAGUUCAAGCCCAAAUUCUGCAGCCUCAAACUCUAGUUCAAAAUACUAACAUUCUUCAGCAACAGCCAUCUCU